UUAUGAGCAGCGGAUACCGGACUCAUCCGCAGCCCGCUGCUUCCAGCGGGCCCUCAGCAGUCUCAGCUCUCUUGGGGUUUAACGUUAAGCACUCUGAAAAGGCUUAGAGCACCUGGUCUAGAGUAACGGAGCCUGUUCAGAGUGUCUGCAUGAAUGACUUUUUCUGCCCAUGAGAAGAGCUGAAAUACAUGUUGUGGAAUGUGCAUGGUUUCCACAGCCUUGUUUAAAUUCAAGCAAGGACCUUUUUGCACCAACUUUGCAGGAUUUCAUUUGUGAGUUGUACAUUUAAUUCUCCACAGCAGAUGGUGAUGUGUGGGUGUACUGCUGUAUAUUUGCAACAGAUUCCGUAUCCUACAAAAUUAAUUAAGUGUCUCAUGUGCUGAUUUAAAAUCAGAAUUGUAUUGUUUGUAAAAAGCUAAUUCUUGCACAUCGUUUUGAUAGGACCCGUG
This is a long non-coding RNA of Dromaius novaehollandiae (emu), 449 nucleotides long. RefSeq lists it as uncharacterized. The record is from RefSeq and is a predicted model, not a curated record. Lineage: Eukaryota; Metazoa; Chordata; Aves; Casuariiformes; Dromaiidae. The transcript has 3 exons.